Non-coding RNA from Pelobates cultripes (western spadefoot toad), 548 nucleotides. Lineage: Eukaryota; Metazoa; Chordata; Amphibia; Anura; Pelobatidae. The record is from the annotation of a GenBank genome assembly.
AUAUCCAUUAUCAAGCAAAAUGUCAGUUGAUGUAUCUUGUUUUUUCUUUGUCUUUAUACUCCCUGCUGACAUCUUUGUCUUCUUGAUAGCAUAAAAUCACUAAUUACCUAUUAAGCACUAUGGAUAAAACUAUUAAUCACUAUCGAUUGAUCACUGUGAAUAAAAGGCUCCAUCUUUACCUUGUUUACUGAUUUGUCAUACCUACCUAGCUUGAUUUAUUUUGUUUUAAGAAAUCAUUCGGAUGUUUGCCCUAUCAACUUUUCGAUGGUACUUUCUGCGCCUACCAUGGUGACCACAGGUAACAAGGAAUCGGGGUUCAAUUCCGGAGAGGAAGCCUAAGAAACGGCUACCAUAUCCAAGGAAGGCAGCAGGCGUGCAAAUUACCCACUCUCGACACGAGGAGGUAGUGACGAUAAAUAACAAUACAGGACUCUUUCGAGGCCAUGUAAUUGGAAUGAGUACACUUUAAAUCCUUUAACGAGGAUCUAUUGGAGGGCAAGUCUGGUGCAGAGCAACUGACCCGAGCGUGCUGCAGCUGAAACUCCACU